UACGUAGGGCGCGAGCGUUGUCCGGAAUUAUUGGGCGUAAAGAGCUCGUAGGCGGUCUGUCGCGUCGAAUGUGAAAACCCGGGGCUCAACUCCGGGCUUGCAUUCGAUACGGGCAGGCUAGAGUGCGGUAGGGGAGUCUGGAAUUCCUGGUGUAGCGGUGAAAUGCGCAGAUAUCAGGAGGAACACCGGUGGCGAAGGCGGGACUCUGGGCCGAUACUGACGCUGAGGAGCGAAAGCGUGGGGAGCGAACAGG
RNAcentral lists this ribosomal RNA (253 nucleotides) under uncultured bacterium. RNAcentral describes it as "partial 16S ribosomal RNA". It matches the Rfam family "Bacterial small subunit ribosomal RNA", at positions 524 to 776 of the family's 1533-position model. The record is from RNAcentral.